ACCGCUCCGUUGGCCUAGUGGUUUAAACGUCCGCUUCUGAAGCGGGAGGUCGUGGGUUCGAUCCCAGGUCAAGUGAUA
Molecule: non-coding RNA, 78 nt
Organism: Potamilus streckersoni
Lineage: Eukaryota; Metazoa; Mollusca; Bivalvia; Unionida; Unionidae
Source: the annotation of a GenBank genome assembly